RNAcentral lists this ribosomal RNA (713 nucleotides) under Tricholoma matsutake. RNAcentral describes it as "partial small subunit ribosomal RNA". It matches the Rfam family "Bacterial small subunit ribosomal RNA", at positions 360 to 952 of the family's 1533-position model. The record is from RNAcentral. Lineage: Eukaryota; Fungi; Basidiomycota; Agaricomycetes; Agaricales; Tricholomataceae.
AAUAUUAGUCAAUGCUCGCAAGAGUGAACUAGCUAACUGAAAUCAUUAUGAGUCAUUAAUUUGGUGAUUAUGAUAACAUAAGGGAAAAAAAAUGAUAUUACCUUAUUAUUAGUGUUGUCCAAAACUGGUGCCAGAAGACUCGGUAAGACCAGAGACGCAAACGUUAGUCAUCUUAAUCAGGCGUAAAGGGUGUGUAGGCUGCUUUAAAAGUUUAAAUCUUUUUAAUAGCUCUUUUGCCGUUGUCCUGCCAUUAUUUAUUUUAUUUAUAAAAUAAUAAACAAUAAUGAAUAUAAAGGCAGUACAUUUUUAAUUUUAUUAAUAUUAAUUUAAUUUAAUAAUUAUAAAGGGGACAAAAAAGAUAUCCCGGUUUAAGUAAAAAGAAUAAAAUGAAUUAAAGCUAGAAUCAAAUUGAGGAUAAACCAAAUAAUACUUAGAGUAGGGCCGAUAUCCGCAGAUACUAAGGGGAAUACUAAAGGUGAAAGCUUUUUAUCUACUAUUGAUUGACGCUGAGAAACGAAGGUGAGAACAGGAAAUAGGAUUUGAUACCCAGAUACCUCUCACUGUCAACGAUGAAUGGUGGUUGUUAGUUUUAAUAAAAACUGGUAACGAUGUUAACACGAUAACCAUUCCGCCUUGCGAGUACGGUUGCAAAACUGAAACCAAAAAAAUUAGUCGGUUUCGAAGCAAACGAAGUGAAGCAUGUUAUUUAAUUC